This 770-nucleotide small RNA is filed under the name Pan troglodytes (chimpanzee). Its description in RNAcentral is "processed transcript". The record is from RNAcentral. Lineage: Eukaryota; Metazoa; Chordata; Mammalia; Primates; Hominidae.
GAAAAUUGAGAAAACCAUGAAAGAAAAAGAAGAACUGUUAAAGUUAAUUGCCGUUCUGGAAAAAGAAACAGCACAACUUCGAGAACAAGUUGGGAGAAUGGAAAGAGAACUUAACCAUGAGAAAGAAAGAUGUGACCAACUGCAAGCAGAACAAAAGGAACCAGAGAAUCAUCAAGGAAGGACUACAAUAUAAAGUAUCAUCCAACAGGACUGGAAAUUCAUAGCAUUUCCCUCAGAUUCUAAAAGUAUAAUGGAUACAUAAUGUAACCAAAAAAACCCUCUAAGUUAUAAGACAUAUGUGGUGACAAUUGUUUAUUUCUGGGGAUAAAACGUGUUUGCCAGGAGAGAGAGUUCCUCUUUGUUACUAGUCAAUGGACUUUUAGUUGUUUUUUUUUUAUGAAUUUGCUUCGUAUUCCAAAAUUAGUCUCCAUUUUAAUCAAGCAUGCCUGCUGGGCAGCUACAACUCCAGACUUUCAAACUGGUCUGGUUGGAUGGCUUAUAAAAUCUGUGACAUUUCUUGGCACUUGUUUUAAAUCUGUUCCAUGGUGUGAAUCCUAUAGUAGUUCUAGAGGUCUUCUAUUUGAGGUACUGAGUAUAUAAACUGUUGAAUAUCUGAAAGAUUGUUCUGAUGUAUCAUCUAUAAUUUCAUUUAAAGUUUUGUAAUGGAUUCUCCAUGUAAUAAGCAGAGACCUUCAUUUUCUUCAUAAUAGGAGAAAUUUAUUGCAUUUCCAUUAUUUUAUAAAAUAAUAUGACUAGCUUAUUACCUAUUC